ACAAGAUCAAAUUACUAGUUGAUGCCAUCACACAAGUGAUACAAAGUAAUCACACAAAGCAACAAAAAAAAAAAAAGCGUUGGUUCAAUGGGGCAGCCCAGCUAUCCAUGAUGGAUCCGGAUGGCACCGACCCGUUAUCCUUCCACUGCCAAGAGCGGGAGGUAAUCGUUGCUCUGUGAAACCAGCCUUACGCGGUUCCAUCCGCUCUAGAAAUCGUGUAGCCUAGAGCCUUCGCUCAAGCCACACAACUCAACUCCUAGCUUGGAAUGGGCAGGCCGGAAUAGAGCCACUCCAGACCCGAACAGCCAACGCUGAACCAAUGUUCCAACACCUCAAUGCCCCCACUUGGGUUACAAGCUUGCGUUACCAAGCUCGACGAUUAUUCAUCCUUGUGCUGGUAUUAUGAAGAACAGUUUUGCACUUCACUUGCCCGAUGUGGGACUGUUUAACUAGCUUAAAUUUAUGUAUGUACUUUAGAAAAAUUUAAUUAUUAUUAUCAAAGAGAGGGAUGAUUCAAAACUAUUAUAAUAAUUUAAUCGAUGAAGAGUUUUGAAAUGUUAAAUAAGCAAUUGGAUCACCAUGUUUUUGAAAUGUUAGACAGAUUUCUAGCUGCUCGACAAAUACUUCUUUGGUCUUGAAUAUUUUGUUGUAGGCAAUGGAGCGACGGUACGCGUAUGACAGGAUAGGUGGCUUCCGAGGCCGAAUACAUUCAAAGUGUUAUCAGUGGCACCAGUUUCGCAGAAACAUAUGAGGGUGCAGGACCUACUUGAUCCGGUAAGCAAGUCUUUGAGCCUCGAAGUUUUAUCUGCGUUAUUUUUGGAGGAAGAGGUGAAUCUUAUACGCACUAUGCCUACUAGUAUUUGUAUGCCGGCGGAUUGUUUCAUGAGCGGGGAUUCAGAACAUUGAAAGUUCCAACAUUUCAAUCAAUAAUUCCACUCGUUGGUGAUCAAAUUACUGAUUACCUAACAAAUGAACAAAAAAAGCAUUGGUUCAAUUUAGGCAGCCCAGCUAUCCAUGAUGGAACUGGAUGGCACCGACCUGUUAUCCUUCCACUACUAAGAGCAGGAGGUUGUCACGGUUCCCUCUGCUCUAGAAAUUGUAUAGCCCAGAGCCUUUGCUCAG
Molecule: long non-coding RNA, 1122 nt
Filed under: Malus domestica (apple)
Lineage: Eukaryota; Viridiplantae; Streptophyta; Magnoliopsida; Rosales; Rosaceae
Description: long non-coding RNA (MDOM_LNC004262)
Source: RNAcentral